GGGGACGCGCGGAUUCGACAGGGGAUGUUUUCGCAGGAUUGCAGGUCGGGGUUCCAUCAAACCCCGUUAAAAAGAUGGAAAUAAAAUUAACUGGCAAUAAACAGCUAGCACUAGCCGCUUAAUCGGCUACGUCCUCCAUUCCCGAUCCCCGAAGGUUGUGGAAGGGCGACAAUAGACGGGGUGCAGCCAGUUCAUGCAGAUAAAUCUGGCUAAAGAUAAUCUGCUAGUCUGUUUAAACGUUAGCUGAUCGAUGGUUAAACAGUCGAAAUUAAAGAUCAGAUAAGCCUGUAGUAUAUUCUAGUCGGAGUGUCUUCUGGACGGGGAGUUCGACCCUCCCCCGUCUCCACCA
Molecule: transfer-messenger RNA, 349 nt
Filed under: Dehalococcoidia
Lineage: Bacteria; Bacillati; Chloroflexota
Also listed under: 2 other names
Description: GCA-2717465 sp002717465 Standard tmRNA
Rfam family: transfer-messenger RNA
About the family: Bacterial tmRNA, also known as 10Sa RNA or SsrA, is named for its dual tRNA and mRNA-like properties. Its role is to liberate the mRNA from a stalled ribosome.
Source: RNAcentral